This 492-nucleotide ribosomal RNA is filed under the name uncultured bacterium. RNAcentral's name for it is "partial 16S ribosomal RNA". It matches the Rfam family "Bacterial small subunit ribosomal RNA", at positions 29 to 507 of the family's 1533-position model. The record is from RNAcentral.
AGUGAACGCUGGCGGUAGGCCUAACACAUGCAAGUCGUACGGCAGCACAGUAAGAGCUUGCUCUUACGGGUGGCGAGUGGCGGACGGGUGAGGAAUACAUCGGAAUCUACUUUUUCGUGGGGGAUAACGUAGGGAAACUUACGCUAAUACCGCAUACGACCUACGGGUGAAAGCAGGGGAUCUUCGGACCUUGCGCGGUUGAAUGAGCCGAUGUCGGAUUAGCUAGUUGGCGGGGUAAAGGCCCACCAAGGCGACGAUCCGUAGCUGGUCUGAGAGGAUGAUCAGCCACACUGGAACUGAGACACGGUCCAGACUCCUACGGGAGGCAGCAGUGGGGAAUAUUGGACAAUGGGCGCAAGCCUGAUCCAGCCAUACCGCGUGGGUGAAGAAGGCCUUCGGGUUGUAAAGCCCUUUUGUUGGGAAAGAAAAGCAGCAGGUUAAUACCCCGCUGUUCUGACGGUACCCAAAGAAUAAGCACCGGCUAACUUCGUG